UAAGGAUUAUAGUUAAAAUUAAAAUAUUUGGCGGCUAUUUAUAUUUAAAGGGAUUUGCCGUAUCGACGCAGCUCGCUAAGAACUUUUUUUUUUAUGUAUACCGUCAUUUAGAUAAUUUUUACAAAAUUAAUUAUGGCAGUAACAUCCAUGAUGUUAGAUCAAGGUGCAGAAAUAGAUAGGGUAAGGUUAAUGACAAUAAUUAAUAUUAAACAGUAAGUUAAUAAGUAAACUAAAUUGGUGGAUUUAAUUGUAAUUUUAAUAAUUUGAAAAAAAUAGGUAGUGUACACAUCGCCCG
RNAcentral lists this ribosomal RNA (295 nucleotides) under Niphargus dimorphopus. RNAcentral's name for it is "partial 12S ribosomal RNA". The record is from RNAcentral. Lineage: Eukaryota; Metazoa; Arthropoda; Malacostraca; Amphipoda; Niphargidae.